UACGUAGGGUCCGAGCGUUGUCCGGAAUUAUUGGGCGUAAAGGGCUCGUAGGCGGUUAGUCACGUCGGGAGUGAAAACUCAGGGCUCAACCCUGAGCGUGCUUCCGAUACGGGCUGACUAGAGGUAUGCAGGGGAGAACGGAAUUCCUGGUGUAGCGGUGGAAUGCGCAGAUAUCAGGAGGAACACCGGUGGCGAAGGCGGUUCUCUGGGCAUUACCUGACGCUGAGGAGCGAAAGCAUGGGGAGCGAACAGG
This 253-nucleotide ribosomal RNA is filed under the name uncultured bacterium. RNAcentral's name for it is "partial 16S ribosomal RNA". It matches the Rfam family "Bacterial small subunit ribosomal RNA", at positions 524 to 776 of the family's 1533-position model. RNAcentral also lists the same sequence under 1 other name. The record is from RNAcentral.